AUACGAAGGGUGCUAGCGUUGUUCGGAAUUACUGGGCGUAAAGAGCAUGUAGGCGGAUAGAUUAGUCAGAGGUGAAAGCCCCGAGCUCAACUCGGGAACUGCCUUUGAUACUGUUUAUCUAGAGACCGAGAGAGGUGAGUGGAAUUCUCAGUGUGGAGGUGAAAUUCGUAGAUAUUGGGAAGAACACCAGUGGCGAAGGCGGCUCACUGGCUCGGAACUGACGCUGAGAUGCGAAAGCGUGGGGAGCGAACAGGAUUAGAAACCCUAGUAGUCC
RNAcentral lists this ribosomal RNA (274 nucleotides) under uncultured bacterium. Its description in RNAcentral is "partial 16S ribosomal RNA". It matches the Rfam family "Bacterial small subunit ribosomal RNA", at positions 523 to 796 of the family's 1533-position model. The record is from RNAcentral.